UAAUACGAGGGGAGCAAGCGUUGUUCGGAAUCAUUGGGCGUAAAGGGCGCGUAGGCGGCCAGUACAAGUCUGGGGUGAAAGCCCUCGGCUCAACCGAGGAAUUGCCUUGGAAACUGUGCGGCUUGAGUAUUGGAGAGGAAGGCGGAAUUCCCAGUGUAGCGGUGAAAUGCGUAGAUAUUGGGAGGAACACCUGUGGCGAAGGCGGCUUUCUGGACAAUCACUGACGCUGAGGCGCGAAAGCCAGGGGAGCAAACG
Molecule: ribosomal RNA, 255 nt
Filed under: uncultured prokaryote
Description: partial 16S ribosomal RNA
Rfam family: Bacterial small subunit ribosomal RNA
Source: RNAcentral